GAGGAGGGAAGACACCUACUCAGUUGGGUCCCUUAGAAAGAGCUAACCUCAAUCACAACCCCUUUCAGAUUCACCAAUGUUCCAGUCGACGAAGUCCUACAAGUCAACAGAAAUAAGCUCCAAUGAUGACACACUGGCUGAAUGGUCUGUCUUGCAGGUUGAAGUCAUCAUGGAUAUUCUGGAGUUUUGCCUGAGAACCAUAUUUUCAGGUGGAUGACAAGUUCUUCCAACAGAAAAAUGGCAAGGCUAUGGGAAGCUCUCUAUCACCCACUGUGAGCAACAUCUUCAUGGGGCAUUUUGAGAAACUGACUCUGGACUUGGCACAACAUAAACCAUCAUUAUGGCUCUGGGUUAAAAACUUCAUCAAACCACUCAGUGAAGAACUGCCAAGUUACCCAGGAUUUAGGAUUUGACCUCCACAUUACACUAAGCCUGUUUUUGUGCACAGUGCUUUCCUUAAUAGCCCUGGAGUCUUCUUUCUUUCGUCAAUGUAACGCAUGCAUUGAAAAUGCAGGGCGCCAAUUCCAACUUCUACUCCAGCAGGAUGAUAUAAGUGUCUGUCACAGUAAAAAGAGGUCCAAAAUAUUGUGACAUGAUGGCUGAAAGCAGGAAUACUGGAAAAGGCGUCCUAAGCUAAGUAAUGGUGCUGUAAACAUGUUACAGCAGAUAGUAGAAACAGAAAAGAUGGCUGUUGCUAUGCAAUGGCUUGGUAAACACGUUUCCUUGGAAACUGAUGUGAACGUGCAACACUAGAAAAGCUGUUGGAAGAGAAGUUCUCUGUGCAGUCUGCACUGAGACUGUACAAGAUGUAAUUCAAGCUUUCAAGCAGUUGAGAUGGUGAGUGGGUCUGCAGGCAUUCAGUACUAGCCAGUGGUGAACACACAACAGCCAGGGACUGUGGCCAUGAAGUUGCAUUGUGAAAAAGCUGCCAGCCAGAAAGGACAGGAACUUCUGAACAUGGAAGCAGAGGAAUCCACAGUGUCAGGAGCUGCCACCAAGCGAUGCCUAGUUAAGACAUGGUAGACUGAGAAGACUUAGUGCAUGCUGUAGUUUUUUGUUAAGUGUACAGAUCUGUAAAACUGUUAUUGUUACUUGUAGUUAUGAUCUGUAAGUGUUCAAUAAACCCAA
This is a long non-coding RNA of Cryptotermes secundus, 1128 nucleotides long. RefSeq lists it as uncharacterized. The transcript has 3 exons. The record is from RefSeq and is a predicted model, not a curated record. NCBI's taxonomy places the organism in Eukaryota, Metazoa, Arthropoda, Insecta, Blattodea, Kalotermitidae.